This is a long non-coding RNA of Onychostoma macrolepis, 1274 nucleotides long. RefSeq lists it as uncharacterized. Lineage: Eukaryota; Metazoa; Chordata; Actinopteri; Cypriniformes; Cyprinidae. The record is from RefSeq and is a predicted model, not a curated record. The transcript is spliced from 3 exons.
CCCAUUCACUAAUGAAUUGUUUUUACAUUGGUUCGUGAAUCAGAUACUGCUUCUCGGUUUAUUCAGAAGUCCUCUGAGAAAUCUAAUCCCGUCCGGAUGUGUCUGAGAUUCAUCCCGUAAUUGUUUGGUGAUCCGAUUCUCCGACCGCUCGCUCCACUUUCAUCAUGGAUAUAGAGGCCUUUCUGCCAUAUCGGACGAAACAAUAACAUGGAAUCAAUAAGAAGAUGCCGAUCACGAAAAAGCAGAGUUAGCUUCUGCGAGCGUGUAUGGCGUCUGGCUUCAGAACCUCACUGUGACUUCAGAUAAGAACAAAGAUUAAAUUGUAAGAAGGGUUGCUUAUAAAAGCGUACAUCUGAAACUGCUGAGACUGGUAAGGUUUGUGACUAUAUUUCCGACCAGGUACAUUGUUCUGUCAUUCUUAAAUAGAAAACAAAUCAUCAAUCAUCAUUUGCCUUUUUUGUGUGUGUGUGCGUGUGAGAAAUAUUAACAUUUGUUGUUUUUCAGAUCAGCUGCUAUAGAAGACAAACUUAAAUCUGAGUGCAGAGACAUGGAAAGGAAUAGUAAGUAUAUUUUAAUGUCGCAUCUCCUCUGUUAUAGAGAUUUUUGAAUCAGGCCUAAUAGAGGGGGAUUCGGUCAAUCUUGGAAGAAAAACGUUAGCAAUGGGUCCAUUCCAGGUAGCUAAUUUGUGCUUCUUUUCAGUCAUUCAUGUAAAAAUCUGUUAUCUAAUUUUGUUUCUGUUUUGUUUUUUUUCUAAAGCUGCAAGACACUACUGACUAGGCUGUGCCCAGGUCUCCGGAACCUGCGACGAUGCUCAGCUCCAUCAGCCCUCCGUCUGCGCCUUCGGAUCCACCAGCUCUGUCUCCAUCGGUCGGCCCCCAGAUGUCGGCAGCCACACCAUCUACAUCUUGGCUCCUCCCUCCCUCGACUCCGCCGUGUGUUGUCAGCACUGGGACGCUCUGGGUCUGUGCCAAACACCAUCUAAGCCACUAGGGCAUCAUCGUCAUCCUCCCAUCACCAUCCCUUCACCACAUCCUGCCAUCAUCCCCGCACUUUUGCCUCUCACCAUCCCUACAUCAUCUCCUCGUCCACCUCCAAAACCCCUCUAUCCCUCCCUAUUCUGUUGCUUGAACUUUAUCAUCUUCAGUCUUUGCACACACAUCUAUUCACUUUAUAUGUUUUUUUUCUUCAGAAAAUUGCAUUGUAAUUUUUAUUUAUUCACUGAUGUAAAAUUCUUUACUUUUCAGUAAUACAGGUAUAACUGAAAUGUUCUACAU